AUUCUGGUUGAUCCUGCCAGUAGUUAUAUGCUUGUCUCAAAGAUUAAGCCAUGCAUGUCUAAGUACACACGAAUUAAAAGUGAAACCGCAAAAGGCUCAUUAUAUCAGUUAUGGUUCCUUAGAUCGUUAACAGUUACUUGGAUAACUGUGGUAAUUCUAGAGCUAAUACAUGCAAUUAAAACAUGAACCUUAUGGGACAUGUGCUUUUAUUAGGCUAAAACCAAGCGAUCGCAAGAUCGUUAUAUUGGUUGAACUCUAGAUAACAUGCAGAUCGUAUGGUCUUGUACCGACGACAGAUCUUUCAAAUGUCUGCCCUAUCAACUUUUGAUGGUAGUAUCUAGGACUACCAUGGUUGCAACGGGUAACGGGGAAUCAGGGUUCGAUUCCGGAGAGGGAGCCUGAGAAACGGCUACCACAUCUAAGGAAGGCAGCAGGCGCGUAAAUUACCCACUCCCAGCUCGGGGAGGUAGUGACGAAAAAUAACAAUACAGGACUCAUAUCCGAGGCCCUGUAAUUGGAAUGAGUACACUUUAAAUCCUUUAACAAGGACCAAUUGGAGGGCAAGUCUGGUGCCAGCAGCCGCGGUAAUUCCAGCUCCAAUAGCGUAUAUUAAAGUUGUUGCGGUUAAAACGUUCGUAGUUGAACUUGUGCUUCAUACGGGUAGUACAACUUACAAUUGUGGUUAGUACUAUACCUUUAUGUAUGUAAGCGUAUUACCGGUGGAGUUCUUAUAUGUGAUUAAAUACUUGUAUUUUUUCAUAUGUUCCUCCUAUUUAAAAACCUGCACUAGUGCUCUUAAACGAGUGUUAUUGUGGGCCGGUACUAUUACUUUGAACAAAUUAGAGUGCUUAAAGCAGGCUUCAAAUG
This 867-nucleotide non-coding RNA is filed under the name Drosophila simulans. RNAcentral's name for it is "Eukaryotic small subunit ribosomal RNA". It matches the Rfam family "Eukaryotic small subunit ribosomal RNA", at positions 1 to 793 of the family's 1831-position model. Lineage: Eukaryota; Metazoa; Arthropoda; Insecta; Diptera; Drosophilidae. The record is from Rfam by way of RNAcentral.